GGUCCCCGCCCAGGCUGCAUUGAUUUGCGAUGGCCGCGUGAGGGGGGCUUCACCUGCGGGUGAGGCCAUCCUAUCCACUUCUGGUGCCGGACGCCGGUACUACUGAGACGGUCGCACUGCGGCGCCGCUCGAUGCCGGAGGUCUGGGGACGA
Molecule: non-coding RNA, 152 nt
Submitted as: unclassified sequences
Source: Rfam